Molecule: ribosomal RNA, 119 nt
Filed under: Pteropus alecto (black flying fox)
Lineage: Eukaryota; Metazoa; Chordata; Mammalia; Chiroptera; Pteropodidae
Source: RNAcentral
GUCUAUGGCCAUGCUACCCUGAGCAAGCCUGAUCCCGUCUGAUCACAGAAGCUAAGCAAGGUUCGGCCUGGUUAGUACUUGGAUGAGAGAACACUGAGGAAUACCAGGUGCUGUAGGUA